Long non-coding RNA from Nerophis ophidion (straightnose pipefish), 574 nucleotides. RefSeq lists it as uncharacterized. The record is from RefSeq and is a predicted model, not a curated record. The transcript has 3 exons. Lineage: Eukaryota; Metazoa; Chordata; Actinopteri; Syngnathiformes; Syngnathidae.
CAGAAAAGCGCUGCAUGAUUACUCAUUGUGACACAGGACGUCAGAUCCAUGGUCUGGAUUCGUCUCCUCAAUUCAAGUUCCUGUAUGACCUUUCACCUUCCUGCCCUGUGUAGUUUUCCUCCCGGCUCAGACUAAUUCUGGAAAUAAAUCCAGGUCUCCCACCGACGGCAAGGCGGCUCAGGAAAAGAUGUCUGGAAUGACCGUGAAGUCUUCCGAGGUGCAUUAUACGCCUCCAGGAGUCUACAAUCUGGCGUGCUGUUCAGCUUUAGGGGCAUGUAGAGUUUGGUGUCAUCAGGCGGUUGCGAUUGGCUGGCGACUAUUUGAGGUAGUACCCCACCUCUACACCUGAAGCCAGCUGGAUAGGCUCCUGUAAAUGAAAUGACAAAAUUCCAAGCCUGCUUGUAACACAGAAGUUUGGAUUUACCCGUUUAUUAAAUUGUGUGAAGUAUUCAUGGCUGUGUUGCGGGUUAUUUACUACGACUGAAUGUACAAUUGAUAACAAGUGCAAAAGUGGUGCAGACCGCCUUAUUUAAAUGACAUAAUUGCAUUUACUACUGUCAUUACGUACCCAUGA